CAGCCGCCACGGGAAUACGUAGGUGGCAAGCGUUGUCCGGAAUUAUUGGGCGUAAAGGGCUCGCAGGCGGUUUCUUAAGUCUGAUGUGAAAGCCCCCGGCUCAACCGGGGAGGGUCAUUGGAAACGGGGAAACUUGAGUGCAGAAGAGGAGAGUGGAAUUCCACGUGUAGCGGUGAGAUGCGUAGAGAUGUGGAGGAACACCAGUGGCGAAGGCGACUCUCUGGUCUGUAACUGACGCUGAGGAGCGAAAGCGUGGGGAGCGAACAGGAUUAGAUACCCGCGUAGUCCCUGUCUCUUAUAA
RNAcentral lists this ribosomal RNA (301 nucleotides) under uncultured bacterium. Its description in RNAcentral is "partial 16S ribosomal RNA". It matches the Rfam family "Bacterial small subunit ribosomal RNA", at positions 509 to 809 of the family's 1533-position model. The record is from RNAcentral.